This 747-nucleotide ribosomal RNA is filed under the name uncultured archaeon. RNAcentral describes it as "partial 16S ribosomal RNA". The stretch from base 1 to 669 matches the Rfam family "Archaeal small subunit ribosomal RNA", at positions 341 to 1478 of the family's 1478-position model. The record is from RNAcentral.
CCAAAAACCUCACACAAUCGCGCGAGAAGCGGGAUGAGGGGUUCCAAGUGCGUGCACUUUUUUUACGCUGUUUACUAGUUUAAAAAGCUAGUAGAGUAAGGGCUGGGUAAGACUGGGGCCAGCCGCCGCGGUAAUACCAGCGCCCCUAGUGGUGAUCGUUAUUUUUGGGCCUAAAGCUUCGGUAGCCGGUCCGGUAAAUUUUUGGUUAAGUCGUUGGGCUUAAUUCAACAAAUUUUGGGGAGAUUGCCGGAUUUGGGACGGGGAGAGGUGGAAGUAACUCUAGGGUUAGGGGUGAAAUCUUGUAUUCUUGGGGGGACCACCGGGGGGGAAACGUCCGACAAGAACGGGUCCGAGGUAAGGGACGAAGCCUUGGGGGGGGACCCGAUUUAAAUUCCCCCGGAAUCCCGGGGGGGUAAACCCUGGGGGCCUUGGGGGUUGGGGGGCCCCCCGGGGGCCCCCCCAGGGCCGGGAGAAAAAUUUGUUAAACCCUUCUUGCCUGGGGGGGGACCCCCCCCCAGGAGGAAAAUUUAAAGGGAAUUUGGGGGGGGGAAAGGGCCAAAUUCCCCGGCCCCCAAAAUUUAAUUUCCCCCCAUUGGGGGGUCGAAUUAAAAAUUUAACGGGCGGUUUUUUAAAAAAAGGAAAAAAACUUUUUCCCUUUUUUCCCCCCCCCCCUAAAUUUCCCCUCCCCAAAAGGGAUCUCCCCGGGGUUUAAAAAAAAUUCCCCCCUCCCCCCGGGGGGUUGGGUGU